This 417-nucleotide ribosomal RNA is filed under the name uncultured eukaryote. RNAcentral's name for it is "bacterial SSU rRNA". It matches the Rfam family "Eukaryotic small subunit ribosomal RNA", at positions 592 to 1013 of the family's 1831-position model. The record is from RNAcentral.
CAAUAGCGUAUAUUAAAGUUGUUGCGGUUAAAAAGCUCGUAGUUGGAUUUCUGCUGAGGACGACCGGUCCGCCCUCCGGGUGAGCAUCUGGUUCGGCCUUGGCAUCUUCUUGGUGAACGUAUCUGCACUUGACUGUGUGGUGCGGUACCCAGGACUUUUACUUGAAAAAAUUAGAGUGUUCAAAGCAGGCAGUUCGCCUGAAUAAUGUUGCAUGGAAUAAUGGAAUAGGACCUCGGUUCUAUUUUGUUGGUUUUCGGAAGUCGAGGUAAUGAUUAAGAGGGACAGACGGGGGCAUUCGUAUUACGGUGUUAGAGGUGAAAUUCUUGGAUCGCCGUAAGACGAACUACUGCGAAAGCAUUUGCCAAGAAUGUUUUCAUUAAUCAAGAACGAAAGUCAGAGGUUCGAAGACGAUUAGAU